Molecule: long non-coding RNA, 349 nt
Filed under: Ananas comosus (pineapple)
Lineage: Eukaryota; Viridiplantae; Streptophyta; Magnoliopsida; Poales; Bromeliaceae
Description: long non-coding RNA (ACOM_LNC013543)
Source: RNAcentral
GACCCAGCCCACUAGCAACAAUAACUCGUUGGGCCAAACCAUCGGCCCAAAAUGCUUAAGCCCAGUUAUUAUUACUAGUGUCUAAGUCUCUUAUAAACCCAAUGACAACCCCAUUCCCAUCCGAUGUGGGAUUAUUGGGGUGUCACAGACUCCCCCCGUUAAGGCCCCGACGUCCUCGUCAGUCCAAACACACACAGCCCAAGAUCACCAGGCUAUGUGAGACUCGUCUCGCUAGCCCGUCAUCCAGACCCUGGCUCAGCCGAGACUCGCCACACAUGUCCAGCUGGUGAACCAGCUCUGAUACCAAAUAAAACGACCCAGCCCACUAGCAACAAUAACUCGUUGGGCC